RNAcentral lists this non-coding RNA (32 nucleotides) under Geobacter sulfurreducens KN400. Lineage: Bacteria; Pseudomonadati; Thermodesulfobacteriota; Desulfuromonadia; Geobacterales; Geobacteraceae. The record is from RNAcentral.
GCAUAACAGCUUGAGGCUUUGCGGGCAUCACC